AUGGGGUUGCUAGCUCUGAAGCUGCUCAUGUCCAGGCAGCGGGGCAGCAAGCAUCUCGGCGGCCAGAUUCAAGCCCGCAAUAGAUCGGUAGCUUCAGCAGCUAAAAGAAAGAUCUCUUCAUGCCAACACAGUAACCUUCAAGGUUGCAAGAGAAUGGCAUUUUCAGGGCCAGACCUUCCAGAGGACAUCUGGCGCCAUAUACAUUCCCUGCUGCCGCUGCGAGAUGCUGCCCGUGUUGCCAGCGUAUCUCAUGCAUUUUUACGUUCUUGGAAGUGCCAUCCUAACCUCACCUUCAGUAGGAAAGCACUGGGCCUGAAUGGAAUUCCAUGUCAAAACGAUGUAAUUGCAAGGGAUCUCACGAUGAAAGUUGAUCGCAUUCUGAAAAAACACUCAGGCAAAGGAGUUAAGAAAUUCAGGAUCGAAUUAUACAUUAUAGUUGAUCCCUGUUAUCUUAAUAGCUGGCUCCAGAUUGCCACUAAACUACGGAUUGAGGAACUCGCCAUUGUUCUACCUUCAACCUACAAUGCAAACUGCUAUGAUUUCCCGUGUGCACUUUUUGUUGAUGAUGGGUGUAGAAACACGAUAGAGCAUCUCUGCCUUGGUGGUUGUGCCUUCCAUCCGACGGCUGGAUUUGGUAACUUGAGAAGGCUCCAGCUAUUUUGGGUUCGUAUUACGGUGGAUGAAUUAGGAUGCCUAAUUUUCAAUUCUUCUGCUUUGGAGCACUUGACACUAAAGUAUUGCAAUACGAUCACUUACCUGAAGAUACCUAGCCUGCUACAGCAUCUCAGCUACCUGAUGGUGUCUGAAUGCACUAAACUGCAGUUGAUAGAGUGCAAAGCUCCAAAUCUCUCCACCUUUUAUUUCAAUGGUGGACAAGUUAAACUUCUGUUUGGAGAUUCAGUUCAAGUGAAGACCAUGGGAAUGUGUUGUUUUGCUCCGUGUAACACCAUCUACAAUGCUCGUGCCAACCUGCCAUCCAUUGUGCCCAAUAUUGAAACUCUUAGCAUAUCUUCUGUUAGUGAGGUCAUUAAUACACCAAUUGUGCCUGUCAAAUUCCUCCACCUCAAGUAUUUGUCUAUUUCUCUUGAAGCCGAACAUGGGGCUUUCCCCCCAGUCUACGAUUACUUCUCUCUGGUUUCUUUUCUGGAUGCUUGUCCUGUCUUGGAAACUUUCCACUUGGCUGUGUCGCAGACUCGCAUGAAGCAUGAUUCGGUUUUCGGAGACCCGUCACAUCUUAGGCAGAGGCGAGAAUACCGCCAUGAGAACAUCAAGACUGUCAAGAUCUCUGGGUUUUGCUCUGCAAAGAGCAUGGUUGAGCUGACAUGUCAUAUUCUUGAGAAUGCAACAUCACUAGAGUGUCUUAUGUUGGACACGAUAGAUGAUGUUGACGAUAUUGGUAGGCACGUUCAUGAAACCGGUGAGUGUAACCCCAUUGGUAGGCAUAUGAUCAAAGAAGCCCGUGAGGCUCUCUUGGCAAUUGAAAGGUAUAUUAUGAAAAAAGUUCCCUCCACAGUAAAGUUAAAUGUUCUAGAGCCUUGCAGGCGAUGCCAUGCUUUUGCUGCUUAG
RNAcentral lists this ribosomal RNA (1566 nucleotides) under Triticum aestivum (bread wheat). RNAcentral describes it as "partial small subunit ribosomal RNA". The record is from RNAcentral. Lineage: Eukaryota; Viridiplantae; Streptophyta; Magnoliopsida; Poales; Poaceae.